UACGUAGGGACCAAGCGUUGUUCGGAUUUAUUGGGCGUAAAGGGCGCGUAGGCGGCGGGGUAAGUCGGGUGUGAAAUCUCAGGGCUCAACCCUGAAACUGCACUUGAUACUGCUCUGCUUGAGGACUGGAGAGGAGACUGGAAUUCACGGUGUAGCAGUGAAAUGCGUAGAUAUCGUGAGGAAGACCAGUGGCGAAGGCGGGUCUCUGGACAGUUCCUGACGCUGAGGCGCGAAGGCCAGGGGAGCAAACGGG
RNAcentral lists this ribosomal RNA (253 nucleotides) under uncultured bacterium. Its description in RNAcentral is "partial 16S ribosomal RNA". It matches the Rfam family "Bacterial small subunit ribosomal RNA", at positions 524 to 776 of the family's 1533-position model. The record is from RNAcentral.